RNAcentral lists this ribosomal RNA (482 nucleotides) under uncultured bacterium. Its description in RNAcentral is "partial 16S ribosomal RNA". It matches the Rfam family "Bacterial small subunit ribosomal RNA", at positions 30 to 507 of the family's 1533-position model. The record is from RNAcentral.
AUUGAACGCUGGCGGCAUGCCUUACACAUGCAAGUCGAACGGUAACGGGCCUUCGGUUGCCGUCGAGUGGCGAACGGGUGCGUAAUACAAAGGAACGUGCCCGAUCGUGGUGGAUAACGAGUCGCAAGCUUUGCUAAUAGCGCAUACGAUCUACGGAUUAAAGCAGGGGAGCGCAAGGGCUUGCGAGGACGUAGCGGUCGAUGGCAGAUUAGGUAGUUGGUGGGAUAAAAGCUUACCAAGCCGACGAUCUGUAGCUGGUCUGAGAGGAUGAUCAGCCACACUGGGACUGAGACACGGCCCAGACUCCUACGGGAGGCAGCAGUGGGGAAUUUUGGACAAUGGGCGCAAGCCUGAUCCAGCCAUGCCGCGUGCAGGAUGAAGGCCUUCGGGUUGUAAACUGCUUUUGUACGGAACGAAAAGCCUUCUUUUAAUACAGGAGGGUCAUGACGGUACCGUAAGAAUAAGCACCGGCUAACUACGUG